RNAcentral lists this ribosomal RNA (274 nucleotides) under uncultured bacterium. RNAcentral's name for it is "partial 16S ribosomal RNA". It matches the Rfam family "Bacterial small subunit ribosomal RNA", at positions 523 to 796 of the family's 1533-position model. The record is from RNAcentral.
AGACGGAGGGGGCUAGCGUUGUUCGGAAUUACUGGGCGUAAAGCGCGCGUAGGCGGACCAUCAAGUUGGGCGUGAAAGCCCUGGGCUCAACCCAGGAAUUGCGCUCGAAACUGGUGGACUAGAGUCCGGGAGAGGAUAGUGGAAUUCCCAGUGUAGAGGUGAAAUUCGUAGAUAUUGGGAAGAACACCAGUGGCGAAGGCGGCUAUCUGGACCGGUACUGACGCUGAGGUGCGAAAGCGUGGGGAGCAAACAGGAUUAGAAACCCCAGUAGUCC